This is a long non-coding RNA of Myotis daubentonii (Daubenton's bat), 249 nucleotides long. RefSeq lists it as uncharacterized. The record is from RefSeq and is a predicted model, not a curated record. Lineage: Eukaryota; Metazoa; Chordata; Mammalia; Chiroptera; Vespertilionidae.
GGGGAUUUGCACUGUGAGGCUGAGGGGAGGGUGCAGGCAGCUUCCUUUCUCAAAGGCAGGCAGCGUCAGCACUAAACUAGGGUGUGGGGACAGGAGGGGCCGCACCAGGAGGGGACAGGUGGGGACAGGUGGAAUCUGGCCCUGGAGGUCCAAGGUGGGAUUUACUCCACCCCAGGCCCUUUGACGGUCACGGGAGGAGUUGGUCCCACUGCUGCACAAAGGACCCCUGAAGCCCGAAGCCACCAGAAC